Molecule: transfer RNA, 85 nt
Filed under: Felis catus (domestic cat)
Lineage: Eukaryota; Metazoa; Chordata; Mammalia; Carnivora; Felidae
Rfam family: tRNA
About the family: Transfer RNA (tRNA) molecules are approximately 80 nucleotides in length. Their secondary structure includes four short double-helical elements and three loops (D, anti-codon, and T loops).
Source: Rfam by way of RNAcentral
GCCUGGGUGGCUCAGUCGGUUGAGCGUCUGACUUCGGUUCAGGUCCUGGUCUCACAGUUCGUGAGUUCGAGCCCCACGUCAGGCU